RNAcentral lists this ribosomal RNA (621 nucleotides) under Nautella sp. S11. RNAcentral's name for it is "bacterial SSU rRNA". It matches the Rfam family "Bacterial small subunit ribosomal RNA", at positions 99 to 755 of the family's 1533-position model. Lineage: Bacteria; Pseudomonadati; Pseudomonadota; Alphaproteobacteria; Rhodobacterales; Roseobacteraceae. The record is from RNAcentral.
CGGACGGGUUAGUAACGCGUGGGAACGUGCCCAGAUCUAAGGAAUAGCCACUGGAAACGGUGAGUAAUACCUUAUACGCCCUUCGGGGGAAAGAUUUAUCGGAUUUGGAUCGGCCCGCGUUAGAUUAGGUAGUUGGUGGGGUAAUGGCCUACCAAGCCUACGAUCUAUAGCUGGUUUUAGAGGAUGAUCAGCAACACUGGGACUGAGACACGGCCCAGACUCCUACGGGAGGCAGCAGUGGGGAAUCUUGGACAAUGGGGGCAACCCUGAUCCAGCCAUGCCGCGUGAGUGAUGAAGGCCUUAGGGUCGUAAAGCUCUUUCGCCUGUGAUGAUAAUGACAGUAGCAGGUAAAGAAACCCCGGCUAACUCCGUGCCAGCAGCCGCGGUAAUACGGAGGGGGUUAGCGUUGUUCGGAAUUACUGGGCGUAAAGCGCGCGUAGGCGGAUUAGUCAGUUAGAGGUGAAAUCCCAGGGCUCAACCCUGGAACUGCCUUUAAUACUGCUAGUCUUGAGUUCGAGAGAGGUGAGUGGAAUUCCGAGUGUAGAGGUGAAAUUCGUAGAUAUUCGGAGGAACACCAGUGGCGAAGGCGGCUCACUGGCUCGAUACUGACGCUGAGGUGCG